AUUUUAUUAUUUUUUAUUUUUAUUCAGUGCAACCUAUUGUAUGUACCAUGAAUACUCUUAACUCUCACUAUAUAGGACCCACAUGGGACUCACCAUUUUUCCAUCUGUUAGGGUGAGAUUUUCUGGAAGCAAAGCUCAGAAGGUCCUGGUAGCAACAGAAAGAAUAAUACCUGCCCAGCCAGAAAACGUCAUCGUUCAAAGAACGUAAUCAACUUUUUACUCAUUCUUAUCUCUCCUUGAAGCCACCGCCAAGAUAACAAUGGUGGAUUUAGCAGAAUAGAAGAGACUUCUGAACUGGUUCAAGAGACAGAUUUCCUGGAAUACGACUCAAGAUUAUGACCCCAAUAUAAUAGAGAGAGCAACUUUUAGUGGCAGCGGCUGCAUAUGCCAUUUCAUCAUUGGAAGAAUCGAGAAUUCAAGAACCGAAAAAGAUCAGCCAGGCACUGAACCUUCUGUGACUCCAA
RNAcentral lists this unclassified non-coding RNA (464 nucleotides) under Hevea brasiliensis (rubber tree). The record is from RNAcentral. Lineage: Eukaryota; Viridiplantae; Streptophyta; Magnoliopsida; Malpighiales; Euphorbiaceae.